GAUGUAUUUCCACUCCAGACGGAGUGCAGGUUACGUCUACAGACAUUCUAAAUAAUCCCUCUUUUGUUGGUGUUAACUUCAGCUCAGCUGUGCUCUUAUCAUUGGCUGCUGAGGGGGGGGGCUGUAACUGAGGCCCUCACACAGGCUGCAUCACAGCUUGUUUAUGAUUUCACACACACACACACACACACACUGACAAACUGACCUCAACUUCCCUCUUUUGGGAUGAACACAGGUCUGCGCUUGCGAUUUCUUUUCCUAACGAACAAAAAGAUUUUUGAUUUUUAUUCUACAGUUCCACACGUCCCUCUGUGAAAACAUGAUGGAGACAGAUGCAGGACGUGGGUCCUUUCGUGAACAGAUGUCAACGGGGUGGAGACUGGUGAACGACUUCUGACCCCAUGUGAUGUAUUCACCUACUUUGCAUACUUUAGAAAACUUUUUUUUAUUCUGCCUGUCAUGUGCAGCAAACAGUGAACUGGGUACCUCCACAUUCUAAUGACACACAUUACACGCUGUUGUUUUUAUUUUUAUUUUUCAGAGGACGCUCUGAGCCAACACUCAGCCUUACAGGAAGCCCUGUUUCCCUGUGGCUCACACACAGACAUGAUGUAGGUUCAAUCAGAGGAUGUGAACCAGUGGUCAUCACACCUAAAUCUGACCACAGACCAUGUGAACAACAACACCCUCUUAAAGGAAGCCAUAGAUGGUGUUACUGCAGACACCACUAAGCUACUGAAACAUUGGAUGCUACAGGCCACAAAGAGAGCCUGUCUAAAUUACACUUUGUUCAGACAAAGGUUAUUUUCUGGGUCAUUGUAAUUACAGCUGAUGGCAAAUCCAUCUCACCCAACAGAGUUGAAGCAAUUUGAAACCUGCCUAAACCGUGCACGUAUAAACAGCUGAUGUCUUUUCUAGGUUUUUGUUCUUAUUGUAGGACUUUCGUUCCUAACUUUACUGUCUUUGAGGCCCCACUCAGGGUUCUGAUGCAGACGUCUUCAUCGUCCACUUCUUGUCUCACGUGGACGUCUGAGGCUGAACAACGUUCACUGACCUCAUGCUUGCUCUUCAGGCUCCUACUUUGGGUCUUCCUGAUCUGACCCUACGCGACCUUUCACUCAAACAGUGGAUGAGAAAUCAGGUUGUACGACUUCUGUUCUUUUGUCCUCAUACUGUGUCUUUGAUUCUUUUGAAAAACAUCACAUCUUUCCACAGCUCGACGGCUUAGAUACAACACCACCUUACUCAACAUGCUGAACGUUACUAUCAAGAGGUCGUCUUGAAGUCUGGCACUUUGCUAAGACACUACUCUGCUCAGGCUGCAGAGUUGAUUGUGUUGACUGAAGCUAUUAAACUAGCAGAAGGAGAGUCUGUUACCAUCUACACAGACUCACAGACGCUCUGUGGAAGCAUGGGAAGCUUUGAAGUCUGAUUGCAAACCUAUCUUACAUCAUGAUAAGGUUCUGCUUUGCUGGACGCUGUCCUGCCACCUACAGCUAAUGCUGUUUGUAACUGUCCAACAUCAGUGACGACUUUGUUUGUGCCGACAUGCAGCUGCAGACGCUGCUGCGAAGGUCACUGCCCAACAACCCCUCCCUCUCCUGAUCCUCGUUUCCUCUCCUGAUCCUUGUUCCCUCUCCAACUCUCUCUAUCCUUUCCUUCCUCUCUCCCUGUGCUUUAAACAUUUUGUACCUCACAGGAACGCAGACUCUGGCUGACGAAUGGUUCCACCUGUAGCCAUGGAGUCUGGUUUGGGCCUGAUGGCAGCCGUGCCGCCCAAACACCUUUUCCCCACAAUUCAGAUUUCCAACAGGUGAAAACAGGCGACAGGACCAUUACACCAUCCAACGAGGGGACUGGCGAUCGUUAAGGAGUUCAGGAGGAAGCAUUGGGACUCAAAACGGUGGCGAGGUCCCUUCCAGGUCCUUCUGACGACCCACACGGCUGUGAAGAUCACAGAAAGAGUGACUUGGAUCCACUCCAUCCAGGAAGGUCCCGGAUCCGACAGACGACCCUCCAUCUACACCACACGGAGAAUUCACCACUAACGAAAAGAAUUAAGAAGGACGACCCUCGCUGUGCUCACACACGCACUGAGGCGAGGCUGCGUUGACCGUUCAGCUAAAGGUGUGAGCCAAGCGCCGCCUGAAGCUGCGCCGGUGAAUCACACUAUCAGACCAUACAUCUACACACACGCUCCUGAGAAAACACACACACGAGCAGCCUUGAGUUGCCGACGCUGGACGACGUGUAGACUCUUCACAUCACGGGAGUGACAGUGACUCAGACGACAUUGGGAGGAAACCUGACGGUGAUAACGAACCCCAAGUGUCUCUGUGAUCAGCUGAUCACAACCAUCCUUUUACGAUGCAAACAAAUCGUUAAUGAGUGUACUCGACUUCUACAAGGGGACAGUCCACCAGAUGACGCAUUUCAAACAGUUCUAACAAGAAUGGAAACCCUUAAACGCUGUCUGGAAUGCUCAAGAGGGAGGUUGAUGGAUGCAACAGCAGUACAAGACAUCCUUGAAAACAUUGAGAAAUAUACUCAGGAGGUCAAGGAAAUGCAACAGGGGGCUCAACAAGUGCUUAUAGACACAAGCUGUUACGGCGAUAAAGAGGCACGUGAUGGCUGGACUGUCAUGCGAGGUGGUGUCAGCAAAAGUAAAACUCACAAGUCAUAGAGUCAAUUGACUCUCUGCAUAUUCGUUGAACCGAGGGCUGCUUGAAGUGCUGUUUCUGUUGUAAUAGAGAUUAACGUGCACACGCAUCAUAGACCAGAAGCACAAGUGGCCAUUGGUUUUAAUGCUGUCAACUAGGGCUCAAGCAUGCAUUAAAGAGUCCAUUUACCUAAGAUGAUGUGGUUGUUAUUGCUCCUGAUACAAAGUUUUCUGUGUGUACACUUAAUGUCACUUUUCACAAAGACAAAUUCUGUAACAUCUGUUUUCUCUGUUUGAUUAUGGCAGGUAAUGUUUAUAUUAGUGUUUAGAAAGAUAAAAGAAGGUACAGUACUGGGUUGUAUAGCACCGACGCCUGUGUGGUUACGUGUAACACUUGACUAUUUUAAAUAGAUUUCAGUAUUCCCCAGUAAAUAAAAAAAAUUCUACAAAUGUC
Long non-coding RNA from Betta splendens (Siamese fighting fish), 3113 nucleotides. RefSeq lists it as uncharacterized. The record is from RefSeq and is a predicted model, not a curated record. The transcript has 4 exons. Lineage: Eukaryota; Metazoa; Chordata; Actinopteri; Anabantiformes; Osphronemidae.